RNAcentral lists this ribosomal RNA (1044 nucleotides) under Lactobacillus gallinarum. RNAcentral's name for it is "bacterial SSU rRNA". It matches the Rfam family "Bacterial small subunit ribosomal RNA", at positions 49 to 1029 of the family's 1533-position model. Lineage: Bacteria; Bacillati; Bacillota; Bacilli; Lactobacillales; Lactobacillaceae. The record is from RNAcentral.
UUUUGCUUGCUACACUGAGUUGCUGUCGAGCGAGCAGAACCAGCAGAUUUACUUCGGUAAUGACGCUGGGGACGCGAGCGGCGGAUGGGUGAGUAACACGUGGGGAACCUGCCCCAUAGUCUAGGAUACCACUUGGAAACAGGUGCUAAUACCGGAUAAUAAAGCAGAUCGCAUGAUCAGCUUAUAAAAGGCGGCGUAAGCUGUCGCUAUGGGAUGGCCCCGCGGUGCAUUAGCUAGUUGGUAAGGUAACGGCUUACCAAGGCAAUGAUGCAUAGCCGAGUUGAGAGACUGAACGGCCACAUUGGGACUGAGACACGGCCCAAACUCCUACGGGAGGCAGCAGUAGGGAAUCUUCCACAAUGGACGCAAGUCUGAUGGAGCAACGCCGCGUGAGUGAAGAAGGUUUUCGGAUCGUAAAGCUCUGUUGUUGGUGAAGAAGGAUAGAGGUAGUAACUGGCCUUUAUUUGACGGUAAUCAACCAGAAAGUCACGGCUAACUACGUGCCAGCAGCCGCGGUAAUACGUAGGUGGCAAGCGUUGUCCGGAUUUAUUGGGCGUAAAGCGAGCGCAGGCGGAAGAAUAAGUCUGAUGUGAAAGCCCUCGGCUUAACCGAGGAAUUGCAUCGGAAACUGUUUUUCUUGAGUGCAGAAGAGGAGAGUGGAACUCCAUGUGUAGCGGUGGAAUGCGUAGAUAUAUGGAAGAACACCAGUGGCGAAGGCGGCUCUCUGGUCUGCAACUGACGCUGAGGCUCGAAAGCAUGGGUAGCGAACAGGGAUUAGAUACUCUGGUAGUCCAUGCCGUAAACGAUGAGUGCUAAGUGUUGGGAGGUUUCCCGCCUCUCAGUGCUGCAGCUAACGCAUAAGCACUCCCGCCUGGGGGAGUUACGAACCGCCAAGGUUGAACUCAAAGGAAUUUGACGGGGGCUCCGCACCAAGCGGUGGAGCAUUGUGGUUAAUUUCGAAGCAACGCGAAGAACCCUUACCAGGUCUUGAACAUCUAUGGCCUUCCUUAAAGAGAAUUAAGGAGAGUUCCUUUCCGGGACGCC